This 509-nucleotide ribosomal RNA is filed under the name Staphylococcus aureus. Its description in RNAcentral is "partial 23S ribosomal RNA". It matches the Rfam family "Bacterial large subunit ribosomal RNA", at positions 310 to 822 of the family's 2925-position model. Lineage: Bacteria; Bacillati; Bacillota; Bacilli; Caryophanales; Staphylococcaceae. The record is from RNAcentral.
GGAGUUACAAAGGACGACAUUAGACGAAUCAUCUGGAAAGAUGAAUCAAAGAAGGUAAUAAUCCUGUAGUCGAAAAUGUUGUCUCUCUUGAGUGGAUCCUGAGUACGACGGAGCACGUGAAAUUCCGUCGGAAUCUGGGAGGACCAUCUCCUAAGGCUAAAUACUCUCUAGUGACCGAUAGUGAACCAGUACCGUGAGGGAAAGGUGAAAAGCACCCCGGAAGGGGAGUGAAAUAGAACCUGAAACCGUGUGCUUACAAGUAGUCAGAGCCCGUUAAUGGGUGAUGGCGUGCCUUUUGUAGAAUGAACCGGCGAGUUACGAUUUGAUGCAAGGUUAAGCAGUAAAUGUGGAGCCGUAGCGAAAGCGAGUCUGAAUAGGGCGUUUAGUAUUUGGUCGUAGACCCGAAACCAGGUGAUCUACCCUUGGUCAGGUUGAAGUUCAGGUAACACUGAAUGGAGGACCGAACCGACUUACGUUGAAAAGUGAGCGGAUGAACUGAGGGUAGCGGA